CAUGUCUUUUUGAUUAUAAUUUAAGGUUUAAUCUGCUCAAUGAGGAUUUAAAUUGCCGCAGUAUUUUGACUGUGCAAAGGUAGCAUAAUAAUUAGCUUUUUUAUUGAGAGCUGGAAUGAAUGAUUGGACGAGAAAAUUUCUGUCUCUUUAUUAUUUUUAUUAAAUUUUACUUUUAAGUUAAAAGGCUUAAAUAUUUUUAAAAGACGAGAAGACCCUAUAGAGUUUUAUUUUUUAAUUUAUAAUUAUUUUUUAGAAUUUAUAUAUUUUUAUUUUUUAAAAAAUUUGGUUGGGGUGACUAAAAGAUAAAAAUAACUCUUUUAAUUAUAAUCAUUUAUUUUUGAAUUUUUAAUCUAUAUUUUUAAAUUUAAAUUAAAUUACCUUAGGGAUAACAGCGUAAUUUUUCUUUAGAGUUCUAAUUGAAAGAAGAGUUUGCGACCUCGAUGUUGGAUUAAAAUUUAUUUUUGGUGCAGAAGCUUAAAAAUUGAGUCUGUUCGACUUUUAAAAUUUUACAUGAUCUGAGU
This 521-nucleotide ribosomal RNA is filed under the name Luciolinae sp. UPOL 000M03. Its description in RNAcentral is "partial 16S ribosomal RNA". The stretch from base 385 to 521 matches the Rfam family "Archaeal large subunit ribosomal RNA", at positions 2542 to 2679 of the family's 2987-position model. The record is from RNAcentral. Lineage: Eukaryota; Metazoa; Arthropoda; Insecta; Coleoptera; Lampyridae.